UAAAGUUAAUAUUCCUUCGGAAUAGAGCAACAAAGAAUGAGCGAGCGAGAUGUCACUAUCUGCAACCCUGUGUGAUAAAAAGAGAUGUGUGAUGCUAUCAUCGUCACGUCAAUAGAACCAUUUUUGCAAAAGAUUUGACAGGCAGUGACACAUAGAGGCACAAAGCAGAAUUUCAAAUCACAGUUUUUUCUAAAAAUUUCGUAAAAUCCUGUAUAGUUUUGGAAUUUUUUUAUUGUAAUACAAUGGUGACCUGUUCCGUCCUUGAUUGUGAUGUAAACCAGAGAAAUAAUCCCGCAAAAUAUUCAUUUCACAGAUUUCCGACUAACGAAGAUGUAAGAAAAACAUGGCUCAAAUUAAUUAAUCGUCCAAAUUGGAUUCCAACUAAAUAUGCCACUUUAUGUAGCAAACAUUUUGAUAGUAAAUGUUUUCGAAAAAUUGGAGCCAGAAUCACGUUGAAAAAAUGUGCAAUCCCUACAGAGUUUGUUCCGGUAAGUUUAAUUAAAAUAAUACUAUUUCUGGCAAUAAAUAUUUUCAUUUUCAUUUUCUUCUGAUGAUGUUUCGUUGGUUAGUAAUGUCAAUUUAUUACCUUGAUCUGGUUGUUUUCAUUGUUUUGAUAAAAAAUGUUUAACUAUAAGUUAUAAUUAAACUAUGAUUUCUAUGAAAUAGUCAAACACGGGUCUUAACGCGACAUUUAUUAAUGAGUUACAUUAUGUACUCACGGCUUGACGUUUCGGCUGCGAUGCUGCAGCCGUGGUCACAAGUAGACUGGCGGUUCGCGGCGUCGUCCGUUCGGGUGGGCAUGAAGAUUUUCAACUACCCUCAUAAUAAUAUAAAAUCUUAUAUGAUUUCUAUAGUCAA
Molecule: long non-coding RNA, 858 nt
Organism: Ostrinia nubilalis (European corn borer)
Lineage: Eukaryota; Metazoa; Arthropoda; Insecta; Lepidoptera; Crambidae
Exons: 2
Source: RefSeq, a predicted model, not a curated record